GACGAACGCUGGCGGCGUGCCUAAUACAUGCAAGUAGAACGCUGAAGAGAGGAGCUUGCUCUUCUUGGAAGAGUUGCGAACGGGUGAGUAACGCGUAGGUAACCUGCCUUGUAGCGGGGGAUAACUAUUGGAAACGAUAGCUAAUACCGCAUAACAAUGGGUGACCCAUGUCAUUCAUUUAAAAGGGGCAACUGCUCCACUACAAGAUGGACCUGCGUUGUAUUAGCUAGUAGGUGAGGUAACGGCUCACCUAGGCGACGAUACAUAGCCGACCUGAGAGGGUGAUCGGCCACACUGGGACUGAGACACGGCCCAGACUCCUACGGGAGGCAGCAGUAGGGAAUCUUCGGCAAUGGGGGCAACCCUGACCGAGCAACGCCGCGUGAGUGAAGAAGGUUUUCGGAUCGUAAAGCUCUGUUGUAAGUCAAGAACGAGUGUGAGAGUGGAAAGUUCACACUGUGACGGUAGCUUACCAGAAAGGGACGGCUAACUACGUGCCAGCAGCCGCGGUAAUACGUAGGUCCCGAGCGUUGUCCGGAUUUAUUGGGCGUAAAGCGAGCGCAGGCGGUUUGAUAAGUCUGAAGUUAAAGGCUGUGGCUCAACCAUAGUUUGCUUUGGAAACUGUCAAACUUGAGUGCAGAAGGGGAGAGUGGAAUUCCAUGUGUAGCGGUGAAAUGCGUAGAUAUAUGGAGGAACACCGGUGGCGAAAGCGGCUCUCUGGUCUGUAACUGACGCUGAGGCUCGAAAGCGUGUGGAGCGAACAGGAUAGAUACCCCUUGUAGUCCAAGGGCGAAUUCCACAGUGGAUAUCAGGCUUAUCGAUACCGUCGACCUCGAGGGGGGGCCCGGUACCAGGUUUUUGUCCCUUUAGUGAGGUGUUAUUA
This 883-nucleotide ribosomal RNA is filed under the name uncultured Streptococcus sp. RNAcentral's name for it is "bacterial SSU rRNA". It matches the Rfam family "Bacterial small subunit ribosomal RNA". Lineage: Bacteria; Bacillati; Bacillota; Bacilli; Lactobacillales; Streptococcaceae. The record is from RNAcentral.